Molecule: unclassified non-coding RNA, 202 nt
Filed under: plant metagenome
Description: partial contains small subunit ribosomal RNA and internal transcribed spacer 1
Rfam family: Eukaryotic small subunit ribosomal RNA (bases 1-46)
Source: RNAcentral
GAGUCGUAACAAGGUCUCCGUUGGUGAACCAGCGGAGGGAUCAUUACAGAGUUGCAAAACUCCCAAACCAUCGCGAACUUACCGUACCGUUGCUUCGGCGAGGGGCUCCGGGGAGGAGCCGCGGCCCUAACGGGUGCUCGCCGCAAGCCCAACAACUCUGAAUUCUUGGUAUCUCUGAGUAUAACAUACAAAUAAGUUAAAA